GUCUAUGACUAUGCCACCCUGAACAAGCCCCAUGUCAGAUAUCAGAAACUAAGCAAGGUUGGGCCUGGUUAGUACUUGAAUGGGAGACCACCUAGGAAGACCAGGUGCUGUAGGCA
RNAcentral lists this ribosomal RNA (116 nucleotides) under Pteropus alecto (black flying fox). The record is from RNAcentral. Lineage: Eukaryota; Metazoa; Chordata; Mammalia; Chiroptera; Pteropodidae.